CCUACGGGAGGCAGCAGUGAGGAAUAUUGGUCAAUGGGCGGAAGCCUGAACCAGCCAAGUCGCGUGAGGGAAUAAGGCCCUACGGGUCGUAAACCUCUUUUGCCGGGGAGCAAGGGCGGGGACGUGUCCCGUCCCGGAGAGUACCCGGAGAAAAAGCAUCGGCUAACUCCGUGCCAGCAGCCGCGGUAAUACGGAGGAUGCGAGCGUAAGCCGGAUUUAUUGGGUUUAAAGGUUGCGUAGGCGGGCUUUUAAGUCAGCGGUAAAAAUUCGGGGCUCAACCCCGUCCGGCCGUUGAAACUGGGGGCCUUGAGUGGGCGAGAAGAAGGCGGAAUGCGUGGUGUAGCGGUGAAAUGCAUAGAUAUCACGCAGAACCCCGAUUGCGAAGGCAGCCUUCCGGCGCCCUACUGACGCUGAGGCACGAAAGUGCGGGGAUCGAACAGGAUUAGAUACCCUAGUAGUC
This 460-nucleotide ribosomal RNA is filed under the name uncultured bacterium. RNAcentral describes it as "partial 16S ribosomal RNA". It matches the Rfam family "Bacterial small subunit ribosomal RNA", at positions 338 to 795 of the family's 1533-position model. The record is from RNAcentral.